Molecule: ribosomal RNA, 501 nt
Filed under: uncultured bacterium
Lineage: Bacteria
Description: bacterial SSU rRNA
Rfam family: Bacterial small subunit ribosomal RNA
Source: RNAcentral
AAUCAACGCUGGCGGCGUGCCUAAUACAUGCAAGUCGAGCGAGAAGACGUAGCAAUACGUUUGUAAAGCGGCGAACGGGUGAGGAAUACAUGGGUAACCUACCCUCGAGUGGGGAAUAACUAGCCGAAAGGUUAGCUAAUACCGCGUACGCUCCUUGGACUUCGGUUCAGGGAGGAAAGCGAUACCGUGGGUAUCGCGCUCUUGGAUGGGCUCAUGUCCUAUCAGCUUGUUGGGAGGUAACGGCUCACCAAGGCUUCGACGGGUAGCUGGUCUGAGAGGACGAUCAGCCACACUGGCACUGCGACACGGGCCAGACUCCUACGGGAGGCAGCAGUAAGGAAUAUUGCGCAAUGGGCGAAAGCCUGACGCAGCGACGCCGCGUGGGGGAUGAAGGUCUUCGGAUUGUAAACCCCUUUCGGGAGGGAAGAUGGAACGAGCAAUCGUUCGGACGGUACCUCCAGAAGCAGCCACGGCUAACUUCGUGCCAGCCGCCGCAGUAAC